Gossypium hirsutum (cotton) is the source of this 121-nucleotide non-coding RNA. Lineage: Eukaryota; Viridiplantae; Streptophyta; Magnoliopsida; Malvales; Malvaceae. The record is from Rfam.
UGUUAAAAAUUCCAUCCAUUUAUUUUGUUAAAAACUGAUAUAAUUAAUAAAAUAAUCGGAUAGUUCAUGUUGACGUACAAAGACUAAUUUUUAAUAGUAUAAAUUGAUAAAAAUUUUAACA